GACGAACCGCGCGAACGUUAUUCGGAAUCACUGGGCUUAAAGCGCGUGUAGGCGGGGCGGCACGUCGACUGCUGAAAUCCCUCGGCUUAACCGAGGAAGUGGCAUCGAUACGACCGUCCUGGAGGGACGUAGGGGGACCUGGAACUUCCGGUGGAGCGGUGAAAUGCGUUGAGAUCGGGAGGAACAUCAGUGGCGAAGGCGGCUACCUGGCCCAAUACUGACACUCAGGUGCGACAGCGUGGGGAGCAAACAGG
RNAcentral lists this ribosomal RNA (254 nucleotides) under uncultured bacterium. Its description in RNAcentral is "partial 16S ribosomal RNA". It matches the Rfam family "Bacterial small subunit ribosomal RNA", at positions 524 to 776 of the family's 1533-position model. The record is from RNAcentral.